GAUGAACGCUGGCGGCGUGCCUAAUACAUGCAAGUCGAGCGAACGGACGAGAAGCUUGCUUCUCUGAUGUUAGCGGCGGACGGGUGAGUAACACGUGGAUAACCUACCUAUAAGACUGGGAUAACUUCGGGAAACCGUAGCUAAUACCGGAUAAUAUUUUGAACCGCAUGGUUCAAAAGUGAAAGACGGUCUUGCUGUCACUUAUAGAUGGAUCCGCGCUGCAUUAGCUAGUUGGUAAGGUAACGGCUUACCAAGGCAACGAUGCAUAGCCGACCUGAGAGGGUGAUUGGCCACACUGGAACUGAGACACGGUCCAGACUCCUACGGGAGGCAGCAGUAGGGAAUCUUCCGCAAUGGGCGAAAGCCUGACGGAGCAACGCCGCGUGAGUGAUGAAGGUCUUCGGAUCGUAAAACUCUGUUAUUAGUGAAGAACAUAUGUGUAAGUAACUGUGCAUAUCUUGACGGUACCUAAUCAGAAAGCCACGGCUAACUACGUG
RNAcentral lists this ribosomal RNA (497 nucleotides) under uncultured bacterium. RNAcentral describes it as "partial 16S ribosomal RNA". It matches the Rfam family "Bacterial small subunit ribosomal RNA", at positions 28 to 507 of the family's 1533-position model. The record is from RNAcentral.